This is a long non-coding RNA of Ornithorhynchus anatinus (platypus), 356 nucleotides long. RefSeq lists it as uncharacterized. The transcript has 3 exons. The record is from RefSeq and is a predicted model, not a curated record. NCBI's taxonomy places the organism in Eukaryota, Metazoa, Chordata, Mammalia, Monotremata, Ornithorhynchidae.
GAUCUGUCACUCCUCUCCUCACGAGAAUGGUUCCUCUUCGUGGCUGAGCAGCCAGUGACCAGGCUUUGCUCGCUUCCAUUUGGAGAACUUGCUUGUAGGAAGAAGCUUUGCUCUUCAAAAAGAAUUUCCAUCAAGGGCACAGGUCAGAAAACAGCAUGAAGACUAUCAACCUCAUGAAGUCAUCGGGAACGUGCUCCAGUGGAAAAGACGAGUCAAGCAUGACCUCUCAAAUGUAAAUGACCGUCUCAUAAGCAUCAGCUUGGUACAAGGAAUGAGGGCUGGAAGUUUGGGUAUCUGGGUUCUCUUCCCAGCUUCACUUUGCCCACUACUCUCUGCCACCCUGAUGGACAUUGGCG